GAUGGACCCGCGCCGUAUUAGCUAGUUGGUAAGGUAACGGCUUACCAAGGCGACGAUACGUAGCCGACCUGAGAGGGUGAUCGGCCACACUGGAACUGAGACACGGUCCAGACUCCUACGGGAGGCAGCAGUAGGGAAUCUUCCGCAAUGGGCGAAAGCCUGACGGAGCAACGCCGCGUGAGUGAUGAAGGGUUUCGGCUCGUAAAACUCUGUUAUUAGGGAAGAACAAACGUGUAAGUAACUGUGCACGUCUGACGGUA
This 260-nucleotide ribosomal RNA is filed under the name uncultured bacterium. RNAcentral's name for it is "partial 16S ribosomal RNA". It matches the Rfam family "Bacterial small subunit ribosomal RNA", at positions 224 to 477 of the family's 1533-position model. The record is from RNAcentral.